AUGAAUGCUGGCGGCGUGCCUAACCCAUGCAAGUCGAGCGGCAGCGAGGGGUGCUUGCACCCUGUCGGCGAGCGGCGAACGGCUGAGUAACGCGUAGGAAUUUGCCCCAAAGUGAGGAAUAACUGCCCGAAAGGGUAGCUAAUGCCGCAUAUGGUCUUCGGAUUAAAGGAUUUAUCCGCUUUGGGAGAAGCCUGCGUUGGAUUAGGUUGUUGGUAGGGUAAUGGCCUACCAAGCCGACGAUCCAUAGCUGGUCUGAGAGGAUGAUCAGCCAGACUGGAACUGAGACACGGUCCAGACUCCUACGGGAGGCAGCAGUGAGGAAUCUUCCACAAUGGGCGAAAGCCUGAUGGAGCAACGCCGCGUGAAGGAUGAAGGCCUUCGGGUUGUAAACUUCUUUUAUGAGUGAAGAAUAUGACGGUAACUCAUGAAUAAGCACCGGCUAACUACGUG
Molecule: ribosomal RNA, 450 nt
Filed under: uncultured bacterium
Lineage: Bacteria
Description: partial 16S ribosomal RNA
Rfam family: Bacterial small subunit ribosomal RNA
Source: RNAcentral